RNAcentral lists this ribosomal RNA (429 nucleotides) under Gemmatimonadota bacterium. RNAcentral's name for it is "Gemmatimonadetes bacterium partial 16S ribosomal RNA". It matches the Rfam family "Bacterial small subunit ribosomal RNA", at positions 355 to 776 of the family's 1533-position model. The record is from RNAcentral. Lineage: Bacteria; Pseudomonadati; Gemmatimonadota.
UAGGGAAUCUUCGGCAAUGGACGAAAGUCUGACCGAGCAACGCCGCGUGAGUGAAGAAGGUUUUCGGAUCGUAAAACUCUGUUGUUAGAGAAGAACAAGGACGUUAGUAACUGAACGUCCCCUGACGGUAUCUAACCAGAAAGCCACGGCUAACUACGUGCCAGCAGCCGCGGUAAUACGUAGGUGGCAAGCGUUGUCCGGAUUUAUUGGGCGUAAAGCGAGCGCAGGCGGUUUCUUAAGUCUGAUGUGAAAGCCCCCGGCUCAACCGGGGAGGGUCAUUGAAAACUGGAAGACUUGAGUGCAGAAGAGGAGAGUGGAAUUACAUGUGUAGCGGUGAAAUGCGUAGAUAUAUGGAGGAACACCAGUGGCGAAGGCGGCUCUCUGGUCUGUAACUGACGCUGAGGCUCGAAAGCGUGGGGAGCAAACAGG